AGUGAACGCUGGCGGUAGGCCUAACACAUGCAAGUCGAACGGCAGCACAGUAAGAGCUUGCUCUUACGGGUGGCGAGUGGCGGACGGGUGAGGAAUACAUCGGAAUCUACUUUUUCGUGGGGGAGAACGUAGGGAAACUUACGCUAAUACCGCAUACGACCUACGGGGGAAAGCAGGGGAUUUUCGGACCUUGCGCGACUGAAUGAGCCGAUGUCGGAUUAGCUAGUUGGCGGGGUAAAGGCCCACCAAGGCGACGAUCCGUAGCUGGUCUGAGAGGAUGAUCAGCCACACUGGCACUGAGACACGGUCCAGACUCCUACGGGAGGCAGCAGUGGGGAAUAUUGGACAAUGGGCGCAAGCCUGAUCCAGCCAUACCGCGUGGGUGAAGAAGGCCCUCGGGUUGUAAAGCCCUUUUGUUGGGAAAGAAAAGCAGCAGGUUAAUACCCCGCUGUUCUGACGGUACCCAAAGAAUAAGCACCGGCUAACUUCGUG
This 492-nucleotide ribosomal RNA is filed under the name uncultured bacterium. RNAcentral's name for it is "partial 16S ribosomal RNA". It matches the Rfam family "Bacterial small subunit ribosomal RNA", at positions 29 to 507 of the family's 1533-position model. The record is from RNAcentral.